Molecule: ribosomal RNA, 266 nt
Filed under: Foraminifera environmental sample
Lineage: Eukaryota; Foraminifera
Description: partial small subunit ribosomal RNA
Source: RNAcentral
CGGUCACGUUCGUUGCAUGACAACUUAUAUAUAAUUGUUUAUUAAUAAUAAAUAACAAUUAUUCUUUAUAUGGAAACGCAAUUAAGCAGACAGAUUAUUCCACGAACUAACAACGGCCAUGCACUACUUAUCACAUAAUCAUAAAAGAACUAUCAUUCUAUAUCUAAAAACAUUAAAAAAAUGUAUUUUAAAUAUCUGUCAAUCCUUAAUAUGUCCUGACCCGGUAAGAUUUUCUGUGUUGGGUCAAAUUAAGCCACAUGUUCCAC